UAGGGAAUCUUCCACAAUGGGCGCAAGCCUGAUGGAGCAAUGCCGCGUGAGUGAAGAAGGUCUUCGGAUCGUAAAACUCUGUUGUUAGAGAAGAACACGAGUGAGAGUAACUGUUCAUUCGAUGACGGUAUCUAACCAGCAAGUCACGGCUAACUACGUGCCCG
Molecule: ribosomal RNA, 164 nt
Filed under: uncultured bacterium
Lineage: Bacteria
Description: partial 16S rRNA
Rfam family: Bacterial small subunit ribosomal RNA
Source: RNAcentral